UACAGAGGUCUCAAGCGUUGUUCGGAUUCAUUGGGCGUAAAGGGCGCGUAGGCGGCGGGGUAAGUCGGGUGUGAAAUCUCAGAGCUCAACUCUGAAACUGCACUCGAUACUGCUCUGCUUGAGGACUGGAGAGGAGACUGGAAUUCACGGUGUAGCAGUGAAAUGCGUAGAUAUCGUGAGGAAGACCAGUGGCGAAGGCGGGUCUCUGGACA
This 212-nucleotide ribosomal RNA is filed under the name uncultured bacterium. Its description in RNAcentral is "partial 16S ribosomal RNA". It matches the Rfam family "Bacterial small subunit ribosomal RNA", at positions 524 to 735 of the family's 1533-position model. The record is from RNAcentral.